This 253-nucleotide ribosomal RNA is filed under the name uncultured bacterium. Its description in RNAcentral is "partial 16S ribosomal RNA". It matches the Rfam family "Bacterial small subunit ribosomal RNA", at positions 524 to 776 of the family's 1533-position model. The record is from RNAcentral.
UACGUAGGCAGCAAGCGUUGUUCGGAAUUACUGGGCGUAAAGAGUGUGUAGGCGGUGCUCUAAGUUCGGUGUGAAAUCUCCCGGCUCAACUGGGAGGGUGCGGCGGAAACUGGGACGCUGGAGUACGGGAGAGGUAAGCGGAAUUCCUGGUGUAGCGGUGAAAUGCGUAGAUAUCAGGAGGAACACCUGCGGUGUAGACGGCUUACUGGACCGUAACUGACGCUGAGGCACGAAAGCGUGGGUAGCAAACAGG